UGCGUAGGCGGCGUUAUAAGUCAGAGGUGAAAGCCUACAGCUUAACUGUAGAAUUGCCUUUGAUACUGUAAUGCUUGAAUUAGGUUGAGGUUAGCGGAAUGUGACAUGUAGCGGUGAAAUGCAUAGAUAUGUCAUAGAACACCAAUUGCGAAGGCAGCUAGCUAGGCUUCAAUUGACGCUGAGGCACGAAAGCGUGGGGAGCGAACAGGAUUAGAUACCCUGGUAGUCC
Molecule: ribosomal RNA, 229 nt
Filed under: uncultured bacterium
Lineage: Bacteria
Description: partial 16S ribosomal RNA
Rfam family: Bacterial small subunit ribosomal RNA
Source: RNAcentral